CACAACCUGAGGGGGGGUGAGACAAGGAAUUUAUACACAUUUUUACCACAAGCUUCGCUACUUCAUCCACAAGUAAAUAAUAUGGUUAAGUACUUUUGAAAAACACAAAAUGUGUAUUUGUAUCACUUGGCUACACGUGCUGGGUGUCGAUGUUCCACUCGCUUCUAACCCGGAAAUCCAUAUUUGGGCUGCAUUGCUCAGUGUGCGGUGGCCCUUAGGCCAUCCUCCAUGAAUCAGGAUGUAACCUGCCAUUGAACAAACAGAUCAGAAACUCAAACAUUCGUUUUCACUUUUGUUUGCAACCACUCAUGGGGAUAUUUACAUUGAUUUGGAUCGAGCUAUGACAAUCCACAUUCUUUUUUUGUUUGUUCGGGUACAGAAUAAUCAGCUGAAACAAGUGAUCUUUGUUAGCUCUCUAAGCCGAACUUUCCCCGUUUUGUCCCUCCAGCAGUUUGUCCUCUUGGCUGCCAGUCACUCACUCAGUCAGUCGCUCCAUGGUGUAAGUCGCUCUGCUGGCAGACGGCCACCGACGUUUGACUGUGUGGUAAUUGUUGUUGGGAAGAAGAGGCUUUCCGUUGACAGGAUUCAAACAAAAAAAGAGAGCACGCGUGGCUUAGCAGCUUAAUGAACGUGUCAGAUGCGUUUAAACAAAUGGAUUACAACAUCUAUACACACUUGGAUGGAUCACUACCUUCCAGACUGGGAGUGGGAAUGAACGAUCCCGGAGACAUGAACAACCAUAUGUCAUCAUUCAAUGACCUGUAUGUACAGUUUACGGUCAUGUCGGCCACUGUUCAUGAAUUUACCCGGCCGGCUGCUACCAAAUUUAAAGCACGUAUGCUGGAGAGACGCGUGAUUUUCAAUUUUCAUCAUUGCGUGUGGAUGGAGCAUGACAGUGACGUUUGAUGACCUGCUGCGAAACACGAAAGUCUGACUGCUCAACCCCUCGAUGUCAGAACUUAAUGAAAAGUCUUGGACUAAAGUUCUGAGUCAAGGGUACCCCUCAAUGGCAGAAAAGACGCAAUAACACCUUUUCUGAUGCUCCAAUUGCUUUUCUCUGGCGGGCAGGCAAGAGGGACCAGCCCGUUCAUCGGCACUCAAGCUCGCUUGAACCCAAGUGGGAUUGAGUGAUCUUGCUUGGCGGAGGUUAUAACACGCCACUUUUACUCAUUGCUCAUUUUAUGUGAUACAAGGCCCAUUAUUCCUGCAGUCAUUACUAAGCAAAAUGCCAAUAAUUUAUUAUGGAAACUUGGCAGGAUGGAUACGAGGGAGUGGGAAACGAAGGAAGGUAGAAGUAUUAAAAAAAAAAAUUAAAAAAAGGAAAUGGUGAGAAACAGGUUUUCACCCCAAUUUAUUCAGCAACGUGAAAGCUGCGCAAGCACUGAAGAUGCUGCUAUUUUCGUACCCGCCUUCAAAGGCAUCUCAGGAUCUUUAAUGUUCACGCCGGUGACAACAAUGAGUGCGCCACUGUUUUUAAUGAUGUGCUUCUUCUUUGCGAACCCCCCCCCCCCCCCCCCCCGCCCUCCUCCCCGCCUUUGUCACUGUCAAGUGAACACAGGCAGGCACAUGAAAACCUGUCAAAAAAACUAACAAAAAAAAAAAAAAAACAAGUCCAGUCCCAUGAAGCUGUUCUAGUGCGCAAAUGGUUCACUUGUCUGGUUCCAUAUGUUUGCAAUCAUGUCGGCUCCCUGGCCACUGCAGAUCAUUUAGUCGACUGCCUUAUACAUUUCAAUGAGGCUCAGCUUGCGCUGCCACACGUGAUUUCCUGAUAUCCUGAUCAUAUCCUUAUUCAGAUGAACACACAUAAUGGGCGUGCUAUCCGUACUGACUGCCGACCAAUUCGUGGUGCUGUCUGCCUUUAGCCCGACGUCAGUUGGGAUAAGCUCCAGCACAACGCAAGUCUAUGGUCACGAGCUAUGGGUCGGGACCGAAAGAAUGAGGUCCCGGAUACAAGCGGCCAAAAUGAGUUUUCUCCGCAGGGUGUCCGGGCUCUCUCUCAGAGAUAAGGUGAGAAGGGAGGGGCUGAAAGUCGAGCUGCUUCUCUUCCACAUCAAGAGGAGCCAGAUGAGGUGGCUUGGGCAUCUGAUUAGGAUGCCUUCUGAACGCCUGCCUGGUGAGGUGUUCCGGGCAUGUCCCACUGGCAGGAGACCCCGAGGACGACCCAGGACACGCUGGAGAGACUAUGUCACCCAGCUGGCAUGGGAACGCCUCGGGAUCCGCCAGGAAGAGCUCGAAGAAGUGGUUGGGGAGAGGGAAGUCUGGGCUUCCCUCCUAAAGCUGCUGCCCCCGCGACCCGACCCCGGAUAAGCGGUGGGAAAUGGAUGGAUGGAUGGAU
Molecule: long non-coding RNA, 2335 nt
Organism: Hippocampus zosterae (dwarf seahorse)
Lineage: Eukaryota; Metazoa; Chordata; Actinopteri; Syngnathiformes; Syngnathidae
Exons: 2
Source: RefSeq, a predicted model, not a curated record